ACAAGCAGUGGAGUAUGUGGUUUAAUUCGAAGCAACGCGAAGAACCUUACCAGGGCUUGACAUCCUCGAAGUGCAUAGAGGUAUGUACGUCCUUCGGGACGAGGAGACAGGUGGUGCAUGGUUGUCGUCAGCUCGUGUCGUGAGAUGUUGGGUUAAGUCCCGCAACGAGCGCAACCCCUGUUGUUAGUUGCCAGCAUGUAAUGAUGGGCACUCUAGCGAGACUGCCGGUAAUAAACCGGAGGAAGGUGGGGAUGACGUCAAAUCAUCAUGCCCCUUAUGACCUGGGCUACACACGUGCUACAAUGGUUGGUACAACGAGUUGCGAGUCGGUGACGGCGAGCUAAUCUCUUAAAGCCAAUCUCAGUUCGGAUUGUAGGCUGCAACUCGCCUACAUGAAGUCGGAAUCGCUAGUAAUCGCGGAUCAGCACGCCGCGGUGAAUACGUUCCCGGGCCUU
RNAcentral lists this ribosomal RNA (455 nucleotides) under uncultured Streptococcus sp. Its description in RNAcentral is "bacterial SSU rRNA". It matches the Rfam family "Bacterial small subunit ribosomal RNA", at positions 925 to 1382 of the family's 1533-position model. The record is from RNAcentral. Lineage: Bacteria; Bacillati; Bacillota; Bacilli; Lactobacillales; Streptococcaceae.